GUAACAACACGUGCUUUGAGGUUAUUUUUUAAACUUUAUUGUAAAAUAAAGUGAAAAUGGUACGUUGUGUAGUGAAAUCGUGUAAAAAUUGCAACGAAACGUACUUGCCGGCGCAAGUAAGCUUUUUCCGAUUUCCGGAAAAUGCAGUAAUGUGUGAAGGCUGAAUAUAGAGAAUCGGAGAGAGUUUUAUGCCGAAAAAUAUUAAGAAUGCAAAUAUACGCUUAGCACACUUCACAGAAGAUUUGUUUGUGAGAAGUAA
This is a long non-coding RNA of Solenopsis invicta (red fire ant), 259 nucleotides long. RefSeq lists it as uncharacterized. NCBI's taxonomy places the organism in Eukaryota, Metazoa, Arthropoda, Insecta, Hymenoptera, Formicidae. The transcript has 2 exons. The record is from RefSeq and is a predicted model, not a curated record.